This 87-nucleotide transfer RNA is filed under the name Clostridioides difficile. RNAcentral describes it as "tRNA-Leu". It matches the Rfam family "tRNA". Rfam says of the family: Transfer RNA (tRNA) molecules are approximately 80 nucleotides in length. Lineage: Bacteria; Bacillati; Bacillota; Clostridia; Peptostreptococcales; Peptostreptococcaceae. The record is from RNAcentral. RNAcentral also lists the same sequence under 4 other names.
GCAGGUGUGCUGGAAUAGGCAGACAGGAUAGAUUGAGGGUCUAUUGAGGGAUUCCUCGUGUGGGUUCAAGUCCCACCAUCUGCACCA